GUGCUUGCUUCGGCAGCACAUACACUAAAAUUUGAAUGAUACAGAGAAGAUUAGCAUGGCCCCUGUGCAAGAAUAACUCCCAAGUUCAUGAAACAUUCCAUAUUUUU
RNAcentral lists this small nuclear RNA (107 nucleotides) under Chinchilla lanigera (long-tailed chinchilla). The record is from RNAcentral. Lineage: Eukaryota; Metazoa; Chordata; Mammalia; Rodentia; Chinchillidae.